AGUUGUGGUCGAGUUUCACGACGUAACACGGGUGCACUGAGCGGGGAUGAGUGAUAAAACAUUGCCCAGAAUGCAUAAAAAUGAAUGGGUUUUGUCCCCUCGUUCGACCCACUUUGUUACCAAGAUUGAUAGAUUAGAGUCCCCCCCCCCCCCCGCUAGUUUGACCCGCUUUCGUAUCAAGGUUGGCAGAUUAAAGUCCCCACACGCACACACUCCACGUAUCUAAAUGCACGCACGCCCACACACGCACGCACACGUAGGAGUAGGAAACUAUACCAUCGAAUAUUUCAGACCUGUCACCUGCAAGCUGUUUUGGCGCUGAUGCUGAUAUUGCAGCUGCCGCGUUUGUGACAUUGUUUUCCGUUGUUCACGACAGAUGGCAGUAGCGGCGGCCGCCCCGCCUCGUCCGUGUUCUCCCGGCUGGGUGGCGGCAAGUCAGCGUCAGGAGCGGCGGCAGUGGCCAAGUCGACCGACUCUGGUGUCAGCCGCCGCAAGCUGCGCCUCAAGCGACACUCACGAGAUGGCGGCACUGCUGGCGGCGGAGGCUCCGCCGCCGCCGCCACCGCCACCGCCACCAACCCAGCCGAACCGCUCGAAAGCCGCCUGCGCAAAAUCAGAGUGCGCAACGCCGCCAUUGUCAAACGCAGCCGCGAGGUAGCCUCUGACAAGCACCUCUACGGCUGACCAGCCGGCGUCCGAACCACGCCGCGGCUGCUGCCAUCUGUCGGCGGCCCCGCGAGCUCGAGUGACGAAGACGUCCGCUCGGGUGCUGGCUGGCGGCCCGUCGGCCGGAGCGCUGUGACAUGUACAGAGCGUGUGGACGACUGACGGCUGAUGUACAGGGAUGCUUGCGAUGUCGGUGGGCUGAGUGGUCGGCGUGUGGCGGGUGUGCAUGAGCUGGCGUCGGAGCGUUGGCGGUUUGGUUGGCUGUUUACUGGGCGGUUGGUGGGGCUGGCGCGGUGGUGUAGGGUGUGAUGAGCGUGGCUAGGGCGGCUUUAGAGGAUGUUGUCUUUUUGUGUACGCUGAAGUGUCUUUUGUUCAUUGGUUAUCAAACGGAAUACUUCGUGGAUUUGGGAGGACAAUAUUCGUAUGUCGUGCAGCGGUUAUGCACCUGGACGUUUGCUUUUCUUUAACAUCACUCCUAUCCCGGGGUGGUUUCCUCAGAAAGCCAUUUAUUUGCUGCCUCAAUUGUAAUGAUCCGCAUGUAUGUAUGUGCGUAACAGUGUGAGAUAAAAAAGCCACAAGGCAUUGUGAAUACACACCAAUACACAAUACGCAUCGCC
Pollicipes pollicipes is the source of this 1283-nucleotide long non-coding RNA. RefSeq lists it as uncharacterized. The record is from RefSeq and is a predicted model, not a curated record. Lineage: Eukaryota; Metazoa; Arthropoda; Thecostraca; Pollicipedomorpha; Pollicipedidae. The transcript is spliced from 2 exons.